This is a long non-coding RNA of Oncorhynchus tshawytscha (Chinook salmon), 698 nucleotides long. The record is from Ensembl. NCBI's taxonomy places the organism in Eukaryota, Metazoa, Chordata, Actinopteri, Salmoniformes, Salmonidae.
AAUAUUACAGUACAUUUGGAGCUGUAGAUCAAGGACGUCACGUUGCCAGCCACAACGAGGGUAGAUCAAGGACGUCACGUUGCCAGCCACAACGAGGGUAGAUCAAGAACGUCACGUUGCCAGCCACAACGAGGGUAGAUCAAGAACGUCACGUUGCCAGCCACAACGAGGGUAGAUCAAGGACGUCACAUUGCCAGCCACAACGAGGGUAGAUCAAGGACGUCACGUUACCAGCCACAACGAGGGUAGAUCAAGGACGUCACAUUCAUUGAAAUGUUUAUGUACAUGGUGAAAAUAAACAUCCAGCCAGGACGGGUUGUGUCAGCUCUACACUCCAGAACUCAAGUGCACCUCCAGAGUCCAGUACGCCCUGUUCCUGCUCCUCGCAAUCUCCCUGAGGUGCGUGUCCCCAGCCUGGUACCACCAGUGCCGGCACCACGCACCAGGCCUACAGUGCGCCUCGGCAGUCCAGAGCGUCCGGUGACAGUACCCAGCCCAGAGCGUCCGGCGACAGUACCCAGUCCAGAGCGUCCGGCGACAGUACCCAGUCCAGAGCGUCCGGUGACAGUACCCAGUCCAGAGCGUCCGGCGACAGUACCCAGCCCAGAGCGUCCUGCGACAGUACCCAGUCCAGAGCGUCCGGCGACAGUACCCAGCCCAGAGCGUCUGGCGACAGUACCCAGUCCAGAGUGUCCGGC